UAGGGAAUCUUCGGCAAUGGGGGGAACCCUGACCGAGCAACGCCGCGUGAGUGAAGAAGGUUUUCGGAUCGUAAAGCUCUGUUGUUAAGGAAGAACGAGUGUGAGAAUGGAAAGUUCAUACUGUGACGGUACUUAACCAGAAAGGGACGGCUAACUACGUGCCAGCAGCCGCGGUAAUACGUAGGUCCCGAGCGUUGUCCGGAUUUAUUGGGCGUAAAGCGAGCGCAGGCGGUUAGAUAAGUCUGAAGUUAAAGGCAGUGGCUCAACCAUUGUAGGCUUUGGAAACUGUUUAACUUGAGUGCAGAAGGGGAGGGUGGAAUUCCAUGUGUAGCGGUGAAAUGCGUAGAUAUAUGGAGGAACACCGGUGGCGAAAGCGGCACUAUGGUCUGUAACUGACGCUGAGGCUCGAAAGCGUGGGGAGCGAACAGG
This 429-nucleotide ribosomal RNA is filed under the name Bacteroidota bacterium. RNAcentral describes it as "Bacteroidetes bacterium partial 16S ribosomal RNA". It matches the Rfam family "Bacterial small subunit ribosomal RNA", at positions 355 to 776 of the family's 1533-position model. Lineage: Bacteria; Pseudomonadati; Bacteroidota. The record is from RNAcentral.